CAGUGGCCCUGACCAGCCUCACCUGGGGCUUCCCCCCACAUCUGUGGACCUGGGUGGGCCCUCAGUCCCUGCUGACCCAUGGGAAGUGUUUGUUUCUGGUUCAGUUGCAGCCUAUGGAGUCUUUGGGUCUGGGCUUCACUCACAGGUUGGCUCCUUAGCUCUGUCCCCAUGUACUCUGAAGAUAUUUCUAAGCAAAUGAGCUCCCGUGUGUGCCUGCAGCGUCACCCUGAAGCACUCAUUUGCAGUGUGAAGUCUGAACGCUUCUGCAGCAACUGCAGCCGCUCAGCCCAGAGUCUGACCUCGAGCAUCCCAGGCAGCGAGGCUUGGAUGUUCUGCAGCGUUACAAACCUGCACCUCCCGCUGAUGAAAAAGAGAACUGCAGGCACUCGGAAUCGCUCCUCGAGCCUUCCAUUUUCUCUCCUGCCACAAACUGAGUUGCAAGGAUGUUCUCAGCAAACGUACCUUUUGAUUCUGUGAUACCUGUGUCUUACUCAGCAGCAUGCAGCAGACAGAGCAAGAAAAACAAAAGGUAUUUCAGUAACUGGAAUGAAUAGGAAAAAUCUUUUUUCUUUUUUUUUAACUUAGAAAAACUGAAGAUGUGAGCAAAGAAAAACAAGAGGGAUGAAAGGUUUCCUCCCCCCUCCCUCUGGUGCUAUAAAUAUUUCUGAAUGUACUUUAACAUGAAUCCCUAAAAAUGCAUGUGGCCAAGCAUAUGUGUGUUUCUAUGUAUGGCUAUCAACAUAACCACAGUUGUGUAUGCUGAUUUUGU
Molecule: long non-coding RNA, 769 nt
Organism: Passer montanus (Eurasian tree sparrow)
Lineage: Eukaryota; Metazoa; Chordata; Aves; Passeriformes; Passeridae
Exons: 2
Source: RefSeq, a predicted model, not a curated record